Helicoverpa zea (corn earworm) is the source of this 410-nucleotide long non-coding RNA. RefSeq lists it as uncharacterized. The transcript is spliced from 3 exons. The record is from RefSeq and is a predicted model, not a curated record. NCBI's taxonomy places the organism in Eukaryota, Metazoa, Arthropoda, Insecta, Lepidoptera, Noctuidae.
AAGCGUCAGUAUUGUGACAACAGUCGAACAAGAUGAAAGGUUUUGUGCUAUUCCUGGUUGUCGUGCUUCUUGCAUGCACAUACGCCGCCCCACAGGCACCAGCUACUAAUUACGGUGCUGUGUCAGCACAGUCCGGCAGCUCGGCUUCUGGAGUCAUUUCAGGCUCAACCUUUGGAAAUGACGCGUUUAAUGCUGGUACUAGAAGACCGUGUCCUUUUUUCCAAGCACUGUUCGUGGGUUGCUGAUGUACUAUAAGGAUUCUGUGAGAAAUGGCGAAAACUGGUGAAACUAAAAACCGUAUUUUAAGUGAUAACUUGUUAUUAGCACAUAUUUAUAAAACAACAAUGUAAUCUAGGAAAAUGUUUAUAAUGUAAACAAAAAAUGAAAAUAAACGAUUACAUAUAUCAGUA